GAAGAUGAGUCUGGCUGUGGAAUGCGAUAUAGACUGUGGCUGGGAGUGUGUAAGGUCUGACAGAGGGAGGCCUGGGAGGACGGGAAGAUGAGUCUGGCUGUGGAAUGCGAUGUAGACUGUGGCUGGGAGUGUGUAAGGACUGACAGAGGGAGGCCUGGGAGGACAGGGAGAUGAGUCUGGCUGUGGAAUGCGAUGUAGACUGUGGCUGGGAGUGUGUAAGGACUGACAGAGGGAGGCCUGGGAGGACAGGAAGAUGAGUCUGGCUGUGGAAUGCGAUAUAGACUGUGGCUGGGAGUGUGUAAGGACUGACAGAGGGAGGCCUGGCAGGACGGGAAGAUGAGUCUGGCUGUGGAAUGCGAUAUAGACUGUGG
Molecule: non-coding RNA, 371 nt
Organism: Pelobates cultripes (western spadefoot toad)
Lineage: Eukaryota; Metazoa; Chordata; Amphibia; Anura; Pelobatidae
Source: the annotation of a GenBank genome assembly